GUCGGACUGGGCAUGGGCUUGACUUCUUAAUAGGCAUUUUAUUUUGUAAUAAAACAACUCGGGGGGAACUCUCCCGCAUGGUGAAACUGAGACGUUUUAAAACGACCAGAAAGGCGAGCCGCACCAGACUUACAGCAAUAAGCAUGUGGUGAAGUUACUGAACACAGAGUUGGCCAAGCUGGGGAUUUUCACCAUGGCUGACCUGACCUGAGGAUAGCGCAAGAGGAACCCAGGAGGCUUCUGUCCUUGGCUCACUCUGAGGAUCAUCAUAAUAACUACAAUAUCACUUGAGCUCACAAGGCAUUUUGUGUUUGCAAAAUUCUUUCACACAUAUUUCAUUUGACGCUCCCCACAGGGCCCUCCUGAGCUCACAUUCCAACUUCCUCCCAUGAACCACGACCUCUGGCAGAGAACCGGGUGCUCUCUGAAAUUCCUUGUCGUGCACGGGGGUUGGGAGGGAUCCCAUCCUUCAUGCAUCACCCAUUGAAAGGGCAAGAGGGGAACUCACAGCAUGACACCAUCAGUGUGUCAGCCUCACCCUCUCUUCCCUCCCAUGUGGCCAGAGAUUAACUUUGCUGGUAAAUAUGCCUUCUGUUCCUCUGUAUCUGUUACAGACUUCACGAUUCACAGACUGCUCGGAAAUUGGGAGGCCAAACGAAGCUGGGAAAUGACAGUGUAAUUUUCUAAUCUUCUAGAAAUUUUUCUUUUCAAGUGGGGAGACGAACACGAGGCUCUGGCUUUCAGGGAUGCAUUCAGCUGUGGUGGCAAUUUCUAAAACCCAGGAAACAUUUGAGAGGCAGCAAUGUCAUUGUGAAUAGAGAGCCAGUUUUAAAGCUAGGAAGACCUGGGUUCAGACCCUGCCUCUAACCUAUAUAGGCUGUGUGAUUCUAGGCAAGACUCUUGACUUCUCAGCGCCCAAGGUAACUAACGCUUGGUACCAGCAUGCAUUAGUAGAGGGAGUUUCUUCAAUCUUUAAUCUUCAAUCUUCCCUAAACCAACAAAUCACAGAUCCACUUUCAAUUUCUAUAGACUAUCAGGGUACUUAUUUCCUUUCCUUUCAUAAGACUUGCUCCAGAGCAGAGCUGACAUUCAGAUAAUGGGGGUUUUCGGUGCUCAAUAUUCCCUUGUAGAAGAAGAUUUGGAAGUCUCUUCGAAUCAUAGACUGUGUUGAGUUUGUUAGUUUGUUAGAGAGAAUAUUAGCACUGGAAAGGAUACAAUACAGGGAUGAGAAAGACCUUAGGAUUAUCCAGUCUAAUCAACUUAUUUUACGGAUGAGGGAACUGAGCCCAAGAAGGGGAAAGUGAGCCAAUUGAGAUCUCUCAGGCAUCGAGUGCAUAGGUCGGUAGAUUGAACUUUUGGCCCCAUGGCCAGGUAUGGAGGGGAUGAUGAAGGACAGCCCUCACUGCUAGAUCUGAAGAAAAGUGUCACCCAUGUUAAGGGCUAAAAUUCUAGCUAGUCUGUCUAAAAUAUCCAAUGAGUGGUCGCCAAUAAAUU
This is a long non-coding RNA of Dromiciops gliroides (monito del monte), 1494 nucleotides long. RefSeq lists it as uncharacterized. NCBI's taxonomy places the organism in Eukaryota, Metazoa, Chordata, Mammalia, Microbiotheria, Microbiotheriidae. The transcript is spliced from 5 exons. The record is from RefSeq and is a predicted model, not a curated record.